This is a long non-coding RNA of Chiroxiphia lanceolata (lance-tailed manakin), 334 nucleotides long. RefSeq lists it as uncharacterized. The record is from RefSeq and is a predicted model, not a curated record. Lineage: Eukaryota; Metazoa; Chordata; Aves; Passeriformes; Pipridae. The transcript is spliced from 3 exons.
ACUGCAAGGUUUGGCUUUGUACCAUUCCUGUGAGCUGAAUGUCCACCAUUCAUGCUACAGCCUUUCCUCUGGGCUGUGACUGUGACUGUGCAAUUAGUAUUUGGAGUGUGCUUGUCCUCCCGAAUUGCCUCCUCCAGAUGAGCUCCCGUCAACAGAAUUCCAGUUUGUGUUCUCUGAACUGCUCUGUGCUAUGACUUAAAACACAGCAGUAACAUGGAGUAAGUCCUGUUGGAAAGUAAAAUCCAUAAAAGCCAUGAUAUGUCCCAGGUCUGCAUUUGUGAAAAAUCACUUAACCCAUUUUCAACUUGUUCAUUAGGAGCACCCACAAAAGGAG